RNAcentral lists this long non-coding RNA (474 nucleotides) under Hordeum vulgare. Its description in RNAcentral is "long non-coding RNA (HVUL_LNC009370)". The record is from RNAcentral. Lineage: Eukaryota; Viridiplantae; Streptophyta; Magnoliopsida; Poales; Poaceae.
CCGGAGUUUCAGUAGUUAUCUUAGUAUCCUUGAUCACCCCCGGCAUAGUGCUUGACCUACGGAGAUUUCCGUUAUCUGCAAGGAAGGAUGACUUGAAUGUUGAAUUAAAAGGAAAUGAUAUCAUUUAUACUUUCCAAGUCACAUUAUCACAAGAUAAAUAGAAGAAAAUGGGCAUAAAUUGUACGAGAAGAAAACAACUGAACAAUUUUCUUAUCACAUCCUCUUACGGUGCUUCGGCGUGCUACACUUUUUUUUUACAGUCAUGGGAUAAAUUGAGCACAACCACAGAAAAAGUUCAGAAACAUUCAGUUUGGGUAAAAGUACCAACUAGCGUUAUCUAACAAUGCGAACAAGCAAUUUCCUUAGAAUAGCCAGCACUAGUACAUGCAGAAACUUGCAAUCUAAAAAAGUGUGUAGCAAAGAGAUGGGACAAGAAUAGACGGGGCCAAAGGAGAAACGACAAAUGGUUCAGGC